Gymnothorax javanicus (giant moray) is the source of this 80-nucleotide non-coding RNA. The record is from the annotation of a GenBank genome assembly. NCBI's taxonomy places the organism in Eukaryota, Metazoa, Chordata, Actinopteri, Anguilliformes, Muraenidae.
GAGAUGGUGGUGCAGUGGUUAGCACUGUUGCCUCCCACGCAGCAAAUGACCCAAGCCGGAUUCGAACCCAGGUUGCUGCA